Molecule: transfer RNA, 69 nt
Filed under: Dipodomys ordii (Ord's kangaroo rat)
Lineage: Eukaryota; Metazoa; Chordata; Mammalia; Rodentia; Heteromyidae
Rfam family: tRNA
About the family: Transfer RNA (tRNA) molecules are approximately 80 nucleotides in length. Their secondary structure includes four short double-helical elements and three loops (D, anti-codon, and T loops).
Source: Rfam by way of RNAcentral
GGGAUGGUGGCUCAGUGGUAGAGUGCUUGCCUUGCAUGCAUGAGGCCCUGGGUUCGAUUCCUCACACCA